AGAGUUUGAUCCUGGCUCAGAUUGAACGCUGGCGGCAGGCCUAACACAUGCAAGUCGAGCGGUAACAGGGGAAGCUUGCUUCUCGCUGACGAGCGGCGGACGGGUGAGUAAUGUAUGGGGAUCUGCCCGAUAGAGGGGGAUAACUACUGGAAACGGUAGCUAAUACCGCAUAACGUCGCAAGACCAAAGAGGGGGACCUUCGGGCCUCUUGCCAUCGGAUGUGCCCAGAUGGGAUUAGCUAGUUGGUGAGGUAACGGCUCACCAAGGCCACGAUGCAUAGCCGACCUGAGAGGGUGAUCGGCCACACUGGGACUGAGACACGGCCCAGACUCCUACGGGAGGCAGCAGUGGGGAAUAUUGCACAAUGGGCGCAAGCCUGAUGCAGCCAUGCCGCGUGUAUGAAGAAGGCCUUAGGGUUGUAAAGUACUUUCAGUUGGGAGGAAGGCGUUGAUGCUAAUAUCAUCAACGAUUGACGUUACCAACAGAAGAAGCACCGGCUAACUCCGUGCCAGCCGCCGCGGUAAUUC
Molecule: ribosomal RNA, 527 nt
Filed under: uncultured bacterium
Lineage: Bacteria
Description: bacterial SSU rRNA
Rfam family: Bacterial small subunit ribosomal RNA
Source: RNAcentral